AUGGGCGCAAGCCUGAUGCAGCCAUGCCGCGUGUAUGAAGAAGGCCUUCGGGUUGUAAAGUACUUUCAGCAGUGAGGAAGGGGGUGUCGUUAAUAGCGGCAUCUCUUGACGUUAGCUGCAGAAGAAGCACCGGCUAACUCCGUGCCAGCAGCCGCGGUAAUACGGAGGGUGCGAGCGUUAAUCGGAAUUACUGGGCGUAAAGCGCAUGCAGGUGGUUUGUUAAGUCAGAUGUGAAAGCCCGGGGCUCAACCUCGGAACUGCAUUUGAAACUGGCAAACUAGAGUACUGUAGAGGGGGGUAGAAUUUCAGGUGUAGCGGUGAAAUGCGUAGAGAUCUGAAGGAAUACCAGUGGCGAAGGCGGCCCCCUGGACAGAUACUGACACUCAGAUGCGAAAGCGUGGGGAGCAAACAGGAUUAGAUACCCUGGUAGUCCACGCCGUAAACGAUGUCUACUUGGAGGUUGUGGCCUUGAGCCGUGGCUUUCGGAGCUAACGCGUUAAGUAGACCGCCUGGG
This 514-nucleotide ribosomal RNA is filed under the name Vibrio fortis. Its description in RNAcentral is "bacterial SSU rRNA". It matches the Rfam family "Bacterial small subunit ribosomal RNA", at positions 371 to 877 of the family's 1533-position model. The record is from RNAcentral. Lineage: Bacteria; Pseudomonadati; Pseudomonadota; Gammaproteobacteria; Vibrionales; Vibrionaceae.